RNAcentral lists this ribosomal RNA (250 nucleotides) under uncultured bacterium. RNAcentral describes it as "partial 16S ribosomal RNA". It matches the Rfam family "Bacterial small subunit ribosomal RNA", at positions 524 to 773 of the family's 1533-position model. The record is from RNAcentral.
UACGUAGGGUGCAAGCGUUGUUCGGAAUGACUGGGCGUAAAGCGCACGUAGGCGGGUCUGUAAGUCGGCUGUGAAAUCCCAGGGCUUAACCUUGGAAUUGCGGUUGAUACUGCGGAUCUUGAAUACCUGAGAGGGUGGCGGAAUUCCGGGUGUAGUAGUGAAAUACGUAGAUAUCCGGAGGAACACCAGAGGCGAAGGCGGCCACCUGGUAGUGUAUUGACGCUGAGGUGCGAAAGCGUGGGGAGCAAAC